AUUGAACGCUGGCGGCAGGCCUAACACAUGCAAGUCGAACGGUAACAGGAAGCAGCUUGCUGCUUUGCUGACGAGUGGCGGACGGGUGAGUAAUGUCUGGGAAACUGCCCGAUGGAGGGGGAUAACUACUGGAAACGGUAGCUAAUACCGCAUAACGUCGCAAGACCAAAGAGGGGGACCUUAGGGCCUCUUGCCAUCGGAUGUGCCCAGAUGGGAUUAGCUAGUAGGUGGGGUAACGGCUCACCUAGGCGACGAUCCCUAGCUGGUCUGAGAGGAUGACCACCCACACUGGAACUGGGCCACGGUCCAUACUCCUACGGGAGGCAGCAGUGGGGAAUAUUGCACAAUGGGCGCAAGCCUGAUGCAGCCAUGCCGCGUGUAUGAAGAAGGCCUUCGGGUUGUAAAGUACUUUCAGCGGGGAGGAAGGGAGUAAAGUUAAUACCUUUGCUCAUUGACGUUACCCGCAGAAGAAGCACCGGCUAACUCCGUG
Molecule: ribosomal RNA, 490 nt
Filed under: uncultured bacterium
Lineage: Bacteria
Description: partial 16S ribosomal RNA
Rfam family: Bacterial small subunit ribosomal RNA
Source: RNAcentral